UACAGAGGGUGCAAGCGUUGUUCGGAAUUACUGGGCGUAAAGCGCGUGUAGGCGGUCUCGCAAGUCGGAUGUGAAAUCCCUUGGCUUAACCAAGGAACUGCAUUCGAAACUAUGAGACUAGAGUAUCGGAGGGGGUGGCGGAAUUCCCGGUGUAGAGGUGAAAUUCGUAGAUAUCGGGAGGAACACCUGUGGCGAAGGCGGCCACCUGGAAGAUUACUGACGCUGAGACGCGAAAGCGUGGGGAGCAAACAGG
Molecule: ribosomal RNA, 253 nt
Filed under: uncultured Anaeromyxobacter sp.
Lineage: Bacteria; Pseudomonadati; Myxococcota; Myxococcia; Myxococcales; Anaeromyxobacteraceae
Description: partial 16S ribosomal RNA
Rfam family: Bacterial small subunit ribosomal RNA
Source: RNAcentral